Molecule: non-coding RNA, 135 nt
Organism: Brachypodium distachyon (stiff brome)
Lineage: Eukaryota; Viridiplantae; Streptophyta; Magnoliopsida; Poales; Poaceae
Source: Rfam
AUAUUAUUCCUCCGUCCAACAAAAGAUGUUUCAAGUUCGUCAAAAUUUGGAUGUAUCUAGACAUGACUUAGUGGAUAGAUGCAUUCAAAUUUGGACAAAAUUGAGACAUUCUUUGUUGGACGAAGGGAGUACUAA